CCUACGGGAGGCAGCAGUGGGGAAUUUUGCACAAUGGGGGAAACCCUGAUGCAGCGACGCCGCGUGGAGGAUGAAGGCCUUCGGGUUGUAAACUCCUUUUGCAGGGGAAGAUAAUGACGGUACCCUGCGAAUAAGCCACGGCUAACUCUGUGCCAGCAGCCGCGGUAAUA
Molecule: ribosomal RNA, 170 nt
Filed under: uncultured bacterium
Lineage: Bacteria
Description: partial 16S rRNA
Rfam family: Bacterial small subunit ribosomal RNA
Source: RNAcentral